This is a small nuclear RNA of Psammomys obesus (fat sand rat), 107 nucleotides long. Lineage: Eukaryota; Metazoa; Chordata; Mammalia; Rodentia; Muridae. The record is from RefSeq and is a predicted model, not a curated record.
UUGCUUCCUUCAGCAGCACAUAUACUAAAAUUGGAACCAUACAGAGAAGAUUACCAUGGCUCCUGCAUAAGGAUGACACACAAAUUUGUGAAGCAUUCCAUGUUUUU